UUUUUUUUCUUCUUCUUCUCCAAGCUCCAAGCAAGCCAUCAAUGGCUACCCUUUUCACCAUCUCCACACACACACACACCCACAACAACACACACACACACAACAACACUCACACACACAGCAAACACUCAUACACACAUAGUGCAUGCAGCAGCCGUUCAUGGCUGCUGCUUCUUCUUCGCCUUCGUCCCAAACGACCUUGUUGCUGCGUCAUCCAUGACUUCCCCUCUAGUUGCUGCGUCGUCUUCUUCUUCAUGCUGCUGCUGCGUCUUCUUCAUCCGAAGUACCACUGCUGUCUGCUACGUCCAUCCAUGGACAAGCUUCAUCGUCGCCUUGCUGCUGCGUCGUCCAUGGCUUCCCCUGCUGCUGCGUCGUCUGCUUCUUCUGCUCCUUCUGCUACGUCCAGCCAUGGACGAGCUUCAUCGUCACCUUGCUGCUGCGUCGUCCAUGGCUUCCCCUGCUGCUGCGUCGUCUGCUUCUUCUACUACUGCUACGUCGUCCAUGGCAGCUUCGUACUGCUGCUGCGAUGUCCAUGGCAGCUCGUACUACUGCUGCGACGCAAGCUCCAGCUUGUUGAUGCUGCGUUGCUGCUUCACUUCAUCGUCGCUGCCACUGCGUUGUCUUCAAACGACGCCAAACAACUAUCUUUUUCGUCGUCGCUUCGACCCGG
This 670-nucleotide long non-coding RNA is filed under the name Nicotiana tabacum (common tobacco). RNAcentral's name for it is "long non-coding RNA (NTAB_LNC006461)". The record is from RNAcentral. Lineage: Eukaryota; Viridiplantae; Streptophyta; Magnoliopsida; Solanales; Solanaceae.